RNAcentral lists this unclassified non-coding RNA (207 nucleotides) under soil metagenome. Its description in RNAcentral is "partial contains 5.8S ribosomal RNA, internal transcribed spacer 2, and large subunit ribosomal RNA". The record is from RNAcentral.
AACCAUAGAAACCUGCGGAGUACCUGCGGAAGGAUCAUUAUAAAAUUUUUCUUGCAUAUUUUUUUAAAAUGUGUAAAAAAAAAUCUUGUAUUCAAAACCCACACUCUUUUAAAACCUUAUAAUAAAAAAAUUUUUAUAUGUUUAUAUACAUGAAAUUUUUUUAUUUAAAAAUAAUAUAAUAAAAAGACAACUUUUAACAAUGGAUCU